UAUAUUUGUUUUCCCUUUCUCUGUUUCUAGGAUGCCUUUGCCAAAGGUGAGGUGUUUUUGGGGAAUAAGGACCACGGUUACAGCGUCUUCCCUUGUCUUCCUGCUGGCACCCAUUGCAAUGGCGCCUGGCAACAUGGUAUCACAAUAGAAACCCCUGACCGCAGCUUCCUCUUUACAUGUGAAACGGAGAGUGACCAGCAGGAUUGGCUGAAGCACUUCAAUGAUGUCUUGAGUGCACCAAUGUCCCCCAGGACUUCACAAUGGAAGCCCUGUUCAAGCACAGGCAUUGAUGGACCAGCGGCCCCUGAGACCAUCUCCUUUCUUCUCAGCCUAUCACAGAUCUGACACAGGAACUACAUCUGUUCUUUUACUGACUGCUAAAUGGAUUUUGAAAUCUUGUUGUAAAAUCUUGUUCAACCCUUUAUGUUGGACGGUAAGGUUAUUUUUUCUUUUAAACGUGAGAGCAGAUUUGUCAAUCUGAAAUAUAACAAUAUAACACAUUGCUAAAUCGAAUCAUUAAACUAUUAAUAAUAAUAAACAGAUAAUUAAAUGGGCUGAAAUAUAACAGAUUAUCAAGUGACAGAAAACAAUUGUAUCUUUGGAGUCAGAGCUCCUUUUUAUUUUUUCUACACUUUUUAUACUAAAAGUAAUCAAAUUAAUUGGUUGUUUCAUUUUGACCUUAUAAUUACUCUAAUUCCUUAAAACAUUUAGAUUCAGUGUAAGUAUUUCAGCUAACUUCAUGCCUCUUGUUGCUCAUUGUUCUGUAUCAGCAUUACAAAAUAUGAACAAACCUUUUUUUUCCAUAUUUUGCAGCAGUAUAUUUAGACACACUACCUGUACAGUUUAUAUCAUAAAAAGAACAAAACUUUUAUCAUUUUGGGUUUUUUGUGCUGAGGCAAAUGUUAAUUUUGUAAUUAAGUUUUUAGGAAAAAAUAAGUGUUUUCAUCAUCAACAAUAAAGGAGAUUUACGAAUGCCUUUGGAUAGAAAACAUGGAAACACUGUCGGCCUUUUCAUGGUUUAACAGUGCCCCCAUGUGGCAAACACAACAUAUAUUAAGUUCUUGAUGAUAAUGAUAAAAAACAAAUGUCCUUUUAACUAUUCUUCUUAGAUAUCGCAUAGAUAAAUGGUAGUUUUUUUUUUUCCUUUUCCAGUUUUGGUUAUAGAAAUAAUUACACUAAAUGUUGAUCCACUAGUAUUUUUCUUUGAUUGUAUGUUUGUUUUUACAAAAAAAAGAAAUAUGUCUGGCUGACAACACAUACAACUAUUGAUGAUCACUAAUAAAAAAUAAUUUCUUUGGAAGUUUU
Non-coding RNA from Labrus bergylta (ballan wrasse), 1305 nucleotides. The record is from RefSeq and is a predicted model, not a curated record. Lineage: Eukaryota; Metazoa; Chordata; Actinopteri; Labriformes; Labridae.